UAUUAGGUCAAACGUGUGUAGAAAAUGCCAUAAAAUAAUGCUACUGAAAUUAAAAUUCAUCUUUAUCCAGCACCUUCUGCUUUACUGGCUCUUAGGCCUGGUCAUGCCAACGCUACAAGGCAAAGUUCUUAAUGAAAGGACUCAUUGAUGAGAAACACUGUGCCGUGCUGAGUCAUAAGCAACUGAUAUCUUUUGGUGCAAGCAGUGUGAGGAGAGGAGUCACCAGAGGGACAGGCAGGGGGCAAGAAAAGACCAACAAGUGACAGG
Molecule: non-coding RNA, 267 nt
Organism: Pelodiscus sinensis (Chinese soft-shelled turtle)
Lineage: Eukaryota; Metazoa; Chordata; Testudines; Trionychidae
Source: RefSeq, a predicted model, not a curated record